AUGAAUUAUUCACUUGCUGUUGAGCCAUUUGAUGUUUGGGGAUUUGAUUACAUGGGACCUUUUCCUUCCUCUAAUGGGUAUACACAUAUUUUGGUUGUUGUUGAUUAUGUUACAAAAUGGGUAGAAGCUAUUCCAACCAGUAGUGCUGAUCACAACAGCUCUAUUAAAAUGGUCAAGGAAGUUAUUUUCCCAAGGUUUGGAGUCCCUGGAUAUUUAAUGACUGAUGGUGGUUCACAUUUUAUUCAUGGUGCUUUCUGUAAAAUGCUUGCCAAGUAUGAUGUCAACCAGAGAAUUGCAUCACCUUAUCAUCCUCAGUCUGGUGGUGAAGUUGAACUUAGCAAUAGAGAAAUAAAAUUAAUUUUGCAAAAG
Molecule: ribosomal RNA, 369 nt
Filed under: Triticum aestivum (bread wheat)
Lineage: Eukaryota; Viridiplantae; Streptophyta; Magnoliopsida; Poales; Poaceae
Description: partial small subunit ribosomal RNA
Source: RNAcentral